This is a long non-coding RNA of Myotis daubentonii (Daubenton's bat), 3772 nucleotides long. RefSeq lists it as uncharacterized. The record is from RefSeq and is a predicted model, not a curated record. The transcript is spliced from 2 exons. Lineage: Eukaryota; Metazoa; Chordata; Mammalia; Chiroptera; Vespertilionidae.
UGCUUGGGGGAGAGUCCAUUCAUUCAUUCAGUUAACAUAUUGAUUGAUUGCUUACACUAUGCGUGAUAGGCAUUGUCUUAGUGCCAGGGAUACAGCAAUGAUAAAUGGACAAAAAUACCUUUUCUGUGGGAGCUGAUAGACGGUAAGCAGUAUAAGUAAAACAUACAGUAUGUUAGUUGGUAAAAACAUGUUAUGGAGGAAAUGAUAGCAGGAAAAAGGGAUAGGGAAUGCAGUAGGGUAGAAUCUUAAAUAAAUGGGCCAGAGAAUACUUCACAAAGAGAAACAUAAUUUGAGGAAAGACCUGAAAAAGGUGAGGGAGAGAGACAUAUGGAUGUCUUGGGGAGAAGCAUUUUAGGUAGAGGAAACAGGGAUUUCGAAGGCCCUGAGGUAGAAAGAUGUUUGACAUGUUUGAGGACCAACAGGAAGGUCUGUGUGGCUGGAACAGAAUGAAUGAGAGAGUGGAACAAGAGGGGCCAGAGUAUAAAGGGCCUUAUAGGCUCUUGUAAAGGACUUUGGCUUUUACUCUGAGGGAAUGGGGAACCUUUGGAGGGUUCCGAGCAGAGGAGAGAUGUGAUCUGAGUUAGAUUGUUGAGAAUAGACUGAAAAGGAACAGGGCAGAAACAGGCCUUCACAGUAAUUAAGCAAGAGGUGGAGAUAUUGGGGAAUUACCAGAUUCUGAAUAUAUUUUGGUGGUGGCACCAAUCUGAUUUGCUGAAUGGAUUAGAUGGGAGAGUAAGAGAAAACUAAAAAAAUGAUGGAAUGGCUGGCUAUGCAAGGAAACACAUACUACCAUUGCCCCACUGUUAAUUGUCAAAGUAGAGAUAGCUUAUGGCUUGAAAUACUGAAAACUUUAAAUAUACAUGAUGUGAUUUUCAUAAGUGUGAUUAUUAUAAGAAGUAUUUUAGAUUUGUAUUGCUGUAUAGUUAUGUCCUUAAUAUGCAGUCUUUCUGCCACCCUCAUUCCUUCCCCCUGCUCCCCAUUGCCAUCAAUUCUGCCAUAUUCAUAUUUUGUGUCUAGUUUGGUUUGGGUCUGAAAAGAAAACUGAAAGAAAUUCAAAUCUUAUGUGCAUAAAAUGAUGUGGGGAAUCUCUGGUGCUUUUCUUAUCAGCUCAUUGACCAUAGUUAACCACAAAAUCAUCAAACAGCAAAAUAGCUUUGAUAACUAAAAGUUUACUCCUUACCACUCUGAUACAAAUUUUCAGGGCUCAUUUUUUUAAAAAGGGUUCUAUAUUUUUACACCAUGCUUAAUUAUUGUUUCCCUAUUUAUUCUCUCUUGGCAUUGCAUUGGUCAGAAUAUAAAUCAAAAAUUGAUACGAGAUUCCUGGGUCCAUGUAGCAAUUUUUUGUCAAUUUUAUUAUGAAAUUUUCAAACCGACAAGAAAAGUUGAGUUUCACGUGAACAUCCAUGUACUUACCAUGCAGAUUCUAUAAUAAUUUUAUUAUAUUUGCUCUCAUAAUUAUCCAUCUUCCUAUCAACCCAUCUUUAAAAUAUAUAUUUCAAAGUAAGUUCUGGACAUCGGUAAAAACUGCUUGCAUAUCAUUAACUAGAACUCAGUAUUUGUUCAUAGUUCUUUUUUGGCAUAAAAUUUAUGUUAUGAAGUACACAGAUCUUAAGUGAACCAUUCCAUGAGUUUUAACAAAUACAUCUGUGCAACUUCUCUAGAGAUACAGAGCAUAAGCAUCAUAGCAGCUUAUUCCCCUCAUAUUCUUCCACAUACAAUCCCUGACCCCUCCUUGUUUACAACCAUUUUUUAAUUUCCCCCCACUGUUAAUAGCAUUUUUAUAAACAUUAUAAACAUCUCUUCUGAUAAUUACUUUCCAAAUGGUUCGUUGUUAUUACCAUCAUCAUUUGCAUUCAUUGUCACUUCUAUUAGGAGGAUAAGUUUAAUUGACAUUAGGAAACUUCUCAAGUUAGAAGUUGGAUUUAUCUGUUAGCUUUGUCUGAAAUGUGACACUUGGAUACCACUGCCUAGAAACGACGCUGGGAUACAGAGGGCAUGGCUCCUGGUAAAAAUCUUGUGGGAAUUAACAAGUGAGAUUUUGCAAACCUAACAGAUAAAUCCAACUUCUAGUUUGAGAUUGGAUUUCCCCUGAAUGCAUCUGUUCUCUUACUUUGCCAUUCACACCUACUCUCUUGUUGAGGGCAGUAGGCCUUGGCUUGGUGGUGGUUCAUUCCAGGUCUGGGGUGAGGAAGAAGAGAAGGGAACAGAAAGUGUUGCUCUCAUCACAUGCCUUCAUGAACCAAUGAGGGGGUAAGCAUAUCAUUCUUAGUGCCAGAACCCAGUGAGGAACAGCUGGUGGCUGGGUAGAGCAGUAAAAGUGAUGUGUUUUCUCAGGAAAUGUUAUUGGCACAUCCUGACUACUGAUGCUUCUCCCCUAUGUAUUAUGUUGGUGGACUGACUACCCAGUUCCCAGUCCCAACUUUCUGAUUAAAUUACGAUUGGUGAUUUAGGCCACCUGGAUCUUGGCUCUGCCAUUUUCUUCUUUCUUAUUUGAAUUAUACUUUUAAUUUGUCCCUUGAGGACUACUAGAAAGAUUGCUGUUUUUCUAAACUUUCACAUAGAUUUUUCAAUUUAAUCCUUGUAGUAUUCUAGAUUAUAUUUUCCAUAAAUGCUGCUUCUACAAACAUCCUAUGUGAUAAAAGGCUAAUAUGCAAAUUGAUCAAACGGCAGAACGACCCGUCGCUAUGAUGUGCACUGACCACCAGAGGACAGACGCUCAAUGCAGGAACUACCCCCUGAUGGUCAGUGUGCUCCCACAGAGGGAGUGCUGCCCAGCCAGAAGUCGGGCUCACAGGCUGGAAAGUGCAGCGGUGGUGGCAGGAGCCUCUCCUGCCUCUGCAGCAGUGCUAAGCCAGACAUCCCUCAAGGGCUCCUGGACUGUGAGAGGGUGCAGGCCAGGUUGAGGGCCCGCUAUCCCCCGCCCCCCUGAGUGCCUGAAUUUCGUGCACUGGGCCCCUAAUACACAUACUAAGAGUUCCAAAAGGCAGAGAGAGAGAAGAAGGAACAGAAAGAAUAGUUGAAGAAAUAUGGCUGAAAAUUCGCCAGCUUUAAUGGAAAAUAUUAAUCCUCAUAUCUAAGAUCAAUGAAUUCUAAGUAGGGAGAAAAUCAAUGCGAGCCAUACCAGACACAUGAUAAGCAAACCACUGAAAGACAAAGAAUCUUGAAAACAGUAAGACAAAAAAGUGACUUACCAUAUACAAGAGAUUUUCAAUAAGGUUAAAAGCUGACAUUUCACCAGAAAUGAUGGAAACUGGCUACCAGUGGUAUUAUAUAUUCAAAGUAUUGAAAGAAUAAGAUGUCAAACAAUAAUUAUAUAGUGAGAAAAAAAAAUAUAUAUAUAAAAUAAAAAAGGAAGACAUUCCAAGGGAAAUAAAAACAGGGAAUUUAUUGCUAGCAGAUUUUCCCUAAAAGGAAUCUUUUGUGCUGAAAGGAAGAGACACAAGACAGUAACUUGAACCUACCUGAAGAAAUAAAGAGCACUGAAAAAAAUAUAUACUUAAGUAAAUAUGAGAAUAUAAAUUAUUUUUUGUAACUAUUUUUACCUACUAACUUAAAAAUGGCCUAUAAAGAAAAAUUGUAAAACUAUAUUUUGGGGCUUAUGCAAAUAAAUAAUUUAUGACAAUAAUAGUACAGAGAAGGGAGCAGGGAACAGAGAUAUAUAUUGGAGCAAAGUUUUUGUCUAUUAAUUAAAUUAAAUUAGUAUUAAUUUGAUCACUUUUUGAUGUUAUUGUAUUUCCUAGGGCAAUCACUAAAAAAUAAACUACUAAAAAUA